CUACUGCAAGGCAGGGGAGAUGCCAUGAUCACCAAUGAGGUUUUGCCAGGGUGAUGUCUGUACAUUGCAGUCUGGGCGGGCUGACCCUUUUGAGCUUCCCCAAAUGUAGGAGACUACACUGCACAAUUUUGUGACAGUGGGGGUCUGCUUUCUUGCAUUCUUCCU
Small nuclear RNA from Crocodylus porosus (Australian saltwater crocodile), 165 nucleotides. Its record names the gene U1. It matches the Rfam family "U1 spliceosomal RNA". From Rfam's summary of the family: U1 is a small nuclear RNA (snRNA) component of the spliceosome (involved in pre-mRNA splicing). Its 5' end forms complementary base pairs with the 5' splice junction, thus defining the 5' donor site of an intron. There are significant differences in sequence and secondary structure between metazoan and yeast U1 snRNAs, the latter being much longer (568 nucleotides as compared to 164 nucleotides in human). NCBI's taxonomy places the organism in Eukaryota, Metazoa, Chordata, Crocodylia, Crocodylidae. The record is from Ensembl.